RNAcentral lists this ribosomal RNA (484 nucleotides) under uncultured bacterium. RNAcentral describes it as "partial 16S ribosomal RNA". It matches the Rfam family "Bacterial small subunit ribosomal RNA", at positions 30 to 507 of the family's 1533-position model. The record is from RNAcentral.
AUUGAACGCUGGCGGCAGGCCUAACACAUGCAAGUCGAGCGGAUGAAGGGAGCUUGCUCCUGGAUUCAGCGGCGGACGGGUGAGUAAUGCCUAGGAAUCUGCCUGGUCGUGGGGGAUAACGUCCGGAAACGGGCGCUAAUACCGCAUACGUCCUGAGGGAGAAAGUGGGGGAUCUUCGGACCUCACGCUAUCAGAUGAGCCUAGGUCGGAUUAGCUAGUUGGUGGGGUAAAGGCCUACCAAGGCGACGAUCCGUAACUGGUCUGAGAGGAUGAUCAGUCACACUGGAACUGAGACACGGUCCAGACUCCUACGGGAGGCAGCAGUGGGGAACAUUGGACAAUGGGCGAAAGCCUGAUCCAGCCAUGCCGCGUGUGUGAAGAAGGUCUUCGGAUUGUAAAGCACUUUAAGUUGGGAGGAAGGGCAGUAAGUUAAUACCUGGCUGUUUUGACGGUACCAACAGAAUAAGCACCGGCUAACUUCGUG